AGUGAACGCUGGCGGUAGGCUUAACACAUGCAAGUCGAACGGCAGCACAGUAAGAGCUUGCUCUUACGGGGGGCGAGUGGCGGACGGGUGAGGAAAAUAUCGGAAUCUACUUUUUCGUGGGGGAUCACGUAGGGAAACUUACGCUAAUACCGCAUCCGACCUACGGGUGAAAGCAGGGGAACUUCGGAGCUUGCGCGAUUGAACGCGCCGCUGAGGGAUUAGUUAGUUGGCGGGGUAAUGGCCCACCAAGUGGCCGAUCCGUAGCUGGUGUGGGAGGAGGGUCAGCGACACUGGAGCUGGGACACGGUCCAUACUCCUAAGGGAGGCAGCAGUGGCGAAUAGUAGACAAUGGGCGCGAGCCUGGUCCAGCCAUACCGCGUGGGUUGAGGAGGCCUUCCGGUUGUAAAGCCCUUCUGUUGGGAAAGAAAAGCAUCAGGUUAAUACCCCGCUGUUCUGACGGUACCCAAAGAAUAAGCACCGGCUAACUUCGUG
This 492-nucleotide ribosomal RNA is filed under the name uncultured bacterium. Its description in RNAcentral is "partial 16S ribosomal RNA". It matches the Rfam family "Bacterial small subunit ribosomal RNA", at positions 29 to 507 of the family's 1533-position model. The record is from RNAcentral.